This 253-nucleotide ribosomal RNA is filed under the name uncultured bacterium. RNAcentral's name for it is "partial 16S ribosomal RNA". It matches the Rfam family "Bacterial small subunit ribosomal RNA", at positions 524 to 776 of the family's 1533-position model. The record is from RNAcentral.
UACGUAGGGGGCAAGCGUUGUCCGGAAUCAUUGGGCGUAAAGAGCGCGUAGGCGGUCCGGUAAGUCGGUUGUGAAAGUCGGGGGCUCAACCCCCGGAGGCCGAUCGAUACUGUCGGGCUAGAGUCCGGAAGAGGCGAGUGGAAUUCCUGGUGUAGCGGUGAAAUGCGCAGAUAUCAGGAGGAACACCAAUGGCGAAGGCAGCUCGCUGGGACGGUACUGACGCUGAGGCGCGAAAGCGUGGGGAGCAAACAGG